GACGAACGCUGGCGGCGUGCCUAAUACAUGCAAGUAGAACGCUGAAGGAGGAGCUUGCUUCUCUGGAUGAGUUGCGAACGGGUGAGUAACGCGUAGGUAACCUGCCUGGUAGCGGGGGAUAACUAUUGGAAACGAUAGCUAAUACCGCAUAAUAGCAGUUGUUGCAUGACAACUGUUUGAAAGGUGCAAAUGCAUCACUACCAGAUGGACCUGCGUUGUAUUAGCUAGUUGGUGGGGUAAAGGCUCACCAAGGCGACGAUACAUAGCCGACCUGAGAGGGUGAUCGGCCAAACUGGGACUGGGACAAGGCCCAGACUCCUUCGGGAGGGAGCAGGAGGGAAUCUUCGGCAAUGGACGGAAGUCUGACCGAGCAACGCCGCGUGAGUGAAGAAGGUUGUCGGAUCGUAAAGCUCUGUUGUAAGAGAAGAACGAGUGUGAGAGUGGAAAGUUCACACUGUGACGGUAUCUUACCAGAAAGGGACGGCUAACUACGUG
RNAcentral lists this ribosomal RNA (495 nucleotides) under uncultured bacterium. Its description in RNAcentral is "partial 16S ribosomal RNA". It matches the Rfam family "Bacterial small subunit ribosomal RNA", at positions 28 to 507 of the family's 1533-position model. The record is from RNAcentral.